This 244-nucleotide long non-coding RNA is filed under the name Phoenix dactylifera (date palm). RNAcentral's name for it is "long non-coding RNA (PDAC_LNC019051)". Lineage: Eukaryota; Viridiplantae; Streptophyta; Magnoliopsida; Arecales; Arecaceae. The record is from RNAcentral.
GAAGUAAGGGAGCCUCCAACGUCUCCCGGCGUCCCCCGCAAAGUCCUGGACGCUCCGUCCAGAAUUCUCCAACUCCGGCUGACCCAUUUCCUCAGGUCCAGCCGGAACAGUUCAAUGCCUUAGUACAGCAAGUCCAGGCCCUGGCCGCCGCCGUUCAGGGCCUGCGACGCGAGGAAGCUUUACCAACGCUUCCCCCGCGGGCCCAGGUCCCGCCGGAAUUUCCUCCCAACGGCCCGGUUCUCCC